Molecule: ribosomal RNA, 513 nt
Filed under: Enterococcus avium
Lineage: Bacteria; Bacillati; Bacillota; Bacilli; Lactobacillales; Enterococcaceae
Description: bacterial SSU rRNA
Rfam family: Bacterial small subunit ribosomal RNA
Source: RNAcentral
UCCACCGAAAGAAAAGGAGUGGCGAACGGGUGAGUAACACGUGGGUAACCUGCCCAUCAGAAGGGGAUAACACUUGGAAACAGGUGCUAAUACCGUAUAACAAUCGAAACCGCAUGGUUUCGGUUUGAAAGGCGCUUUUGCGUCACUGAUGGAUGGACCCGCGGUGCAUUAGCUAGUUGGUGAGGUAACGGCUCACCAAGGCAACGAUGCAUAGCCGACCUGAGAGGGUGAUCGGCCACAUUGGGACUGAGACACGGCCCAAACUCCUACGGGAGGCAGCAGUAGGGAAUCUUCGGCAAUGGACGCAAGUCUGACCGAGCAACGCCGCGUGAGUGAAGAAGGUUUUCGGAUCGUAAAACUCUGUUGUUAGAGAAGAACAAGGAUGAGAGUAAAAUGUUCAUCCCUUGACGGUAUCUAACCAGAAAGCCACGGCUAACUACGUGCCAGCAGCCGCGGUAAUACGUAGGUGGCAAGCGUUGUCCGGAUUUAUUGGGCGUAAAGCGAGCGCAGGCG